ACCUUGCCAGUAAAAACCCAGUGGGACAAAAACUGGUCGAAGGAAAAAAGAGUACAUAACUAUGUGUAACAUAAAAUUCUAAGUAUAUUGGCGCGCGUGCGACACUGCCUCGUUAAAACCUUGCCAGGAAAAACCCAGUGGGAUAAAAACCCGGACGAAGGAAAAAGAGUACGGUGUUUGAAGAUCUUUAUUGAUGGUGCUCUCCCCCUGAUGCUUGGCAAAAUAUCUUUAAGUCAUACUGUUGAUCAGCCUUCUGAAUAUCGUAGUUGGCACUGCUUCUGUGAGUCAAUCUUGAGUGACACUGCCUCGUUAAAACCUUACCAGGAAAAACCCAGUGGGAUAAAAACCUGGAUGAAGGAAAAAGAGUACAGUGUAUGGAGGUCUUUAUUAAAACCAUGCUCCCCCUGAUGAAUAUCUCCCCCUGAAAAAUUUAGGACUAGCUUUUGUCCAGUAAGCGACCAUAAAAAUUUUCAUAGUAUACCCUAAACCCUU
RNAcentral lists this long non-coding RNA (492 nucleotides) under Prunus persica (peach). Its description in RNAcentral is "long non-coding RNA (PPER_LNC002398)". The record is from RNAcentral. Lineage: Eukaryota; Viridiplantae; Streptophyta; Magnoliopsida; Rosales; Rosaceae.